Molecule: ribosomal RNA, 777 nt
Filed under: uncultured Neocallimastigales
Lineage: Eukaryota; Fungi; Neocallimastigomycota; Neocallimastigomycetes; Neocallimastigales
Description: partial large subunit ribosomal RNA
Rfam family: Eukaryotic large subunit ribosomal RNA
Source: RNAcentral
UACGACUACAUAUCAGGCAUAUCAAUAAGCGGAGGAAAAGAAACUAACAAGGAUUCCCCUAGUAACGGCGAGUGAAGCGGGAAGAGCUCAAAUUUGAAAUCUUAAAGGGUUUCCCUUUACGAAUUGUAGUUUAAAGAAGUGUUUUCUGUUGGAGUUUCGGUAAAAGUUCUUUGGAAUAGGACAUCAUAGAGGGUGAGAAUCCCGUAUUUGACCGUUACUUUCCAGCUGUGUGAUACACUUUCAAAGAGUCGGAUUGUUUGGGAAUGCAGUCCAAGAUGGGUGGUAAAUUUCAUCUAAAGCUAAAUAUUGGCGAGAGACCGAUAGCGAACAAGUACCGUGAGGGAAAGAUGAAAAGAACUUUGAAAAGAGAGUUAAACAGUACGUGAAAUUGUCAAAAGGGAAGCGUUUGACACCAGUGUUGUUUUCUCGAAAAUCAAUUAAAAAAGGCGUGGAUUUUGUGUUGUAUUGACUUUAUCAGCUUUCUGCACUCUUUUCUUGUCUUUUUUAAUGCACUUUUCGUUUAACAAGUCAACAUCAAUUUCUUUUGUUGUAAAAGAGGUCAUUGGAAGGUGGCUUUCUUUUCGGAGAAAGUGUUUAUAGCCUUUGGCCUCUGCAAUCGGAGAGAUUGAGGUCUGCAGCGUAGAUCCUUCGGGGUUAGAUACAUUUGUGCUAAGUUAUAGCCUUUCAUAGACAACUUGUUGACUAUGAUCAGUCAUGUAGCUUACUCGCUUAUGCUAUUUUACCUACGCUUAGGAUGUUGAGCGCAUGUCUCUCUCU